Molecule: ribosomal RNA, 355 nt
Filed under: uncultured bacterium
Lineage: Bacteria
Description: bacterial SSU rRNA
Rfam family: Bacterial small subunit ribosomal RNA
Source: RNAcentral
AACGAACGCUGGCGGCAGGCUUAACACAUGCAAGUCGAGCGCCCAGCAAUGGGAGCGGCGCACGGGUGAGUAACACGUGGGAAUGUGCCCUAUGGUUCGGAAUAACGCAGGGAAACUUGCGCUAAUACCGGAUAAGCCCUUACGGGGAAAGAUUUAUCGCCAUUGGAGCGGCCCGCGUUGGAUUAGCUAGUUGGUGGGGUAAAGCCUACCAAGGCAACGAUCCAUAGCUGGUCNGAGAGGACGACCAGCCACACUGGGACUGAGACACGGCCCAGACUCCUACGGGAGGCAGCAGUGGGGAAUCUUGGACAAUGGGGGAAACCCUGAUCCAGCCAUGCCGCGUGAGUGACGAAGG